GUGCUUGCUUUGGCAGAACAUAUAUUAAAACUGGAACAAUACAGAGAUCAGUCUGGCCCCUGUGCAAAAAUGACACUCAAAUUUGUGAUGCGUUCCAUAUUUUA
Phyllostomus hastatus (greater spear-nosed bat) is the source of this 104-nucleotide small nuclear RNA. The record is from RefSeq and is a predicted model, not a curated record. NCBI's taxonomy places the organism in Eukaryota, Metazoa, Chordata, Mammalia, Chiroptera, Phyllostomidae.